RNAcentral lists this RNase P RNA (221 nucleotides) under Ilumatobacter sp. RNAcentral's name for it is "partial RNase P RNA component class A". It matches the Rfam family "Bacterial RNase P class A", at positions 143 to 367 of the family's 367-position model. From Rfam's summary of the family: Ribonuclease P (RNase P) is a ubiquitous endoribonuclease, found in archaea, bacteria and eukarya as well as chloroplasts and mitochondria. Its best characterised activity is the generation of mature 5'-ends of tRNAs by cleaving the 5'-leader elements of precursor-tRNAs. Lineage: Bacteria; Bacillati; Actinomycetota; Acidimicrobiia; Acidimicrobiales; Ilumatobacteraceae. The record is from RNAcentral.
CACAGGCAAGGCUGAAACGGUGCGGUAAGAGCGCACCAGCGGCGACGGUGACGUCGUCGGCUCGGUAAACCCCACCCGGAGCAAGACCGCGCAGAGGGCGUGGACGGCCCGUUCGUCAUGCGUGCUGCAUGACAGCCCUCGGGUAGGUCGCACAGAUGGAUGGCUACCGGCUCGGCGUUCGCGUCGGGUCACAGAAUCCCGCUUACAGGCCACCUCACCAU